UACGAAGGGGGCUAGCGUUGCUCGGAAUCACUGGGCGUAAAGCGCACGUAGGCGGCUUUUUAAGUCAGGGGUGAAAUCCUGGAGCUCAACUCCAGAACUGCCUUUGAUACUGAGAAGCUUGAGUCCGGGAGAGGUGAGUGGAACUGCGAGUGUAGAGGUGAAAUUCGUAGAUAUUGGGAGGAACACCAGUGGCGAAGGCGGCUCACUGGUCCAUUACUGACGCUGAGGUGCGAAAGCGUGGGGAGCAAACAGG
This 253-nucleotide ribosomal RNA is filed under the name uncultured bacterium. Its description in RNAcentral is "partial 16S ribosomal RNA". It matches the Rfam family "Bacterial small subunit ribosomal RNA", at positions 524 to 776 of the family's 1533-position model. The record is from RNAcentral.